Molecule: ribosomal RNA, 2334 nt
Filed under: Burkholderia sola
Lineage: Bacteria; Pseudomonadati; Pseudomonadota; Betaproteobacteria; Burkholderiales; Burkholderiaceae
Description: 23S ribosomal RNA (partial)
Rfam family: Bacterial large subunit ribosomal RNA
Source: RNAcentral
GGGGUGACGGCGUACCUUUUGUAUAAUGGGUCAGCGACUUACGUUCAGUAGCAAGCUUAACCGUAUAGGGCAGGCGUAGCGAAAGCGAGUCCGAAUAGGGCGUUCAGUUGCUGGGCGUAGACCCGAAACCAGGUGAUCUAUCCAUGGCCAGGAUGAAGGUGCGGUAACACGUACUGGAGGUCCGAACCCACUAACGUUGAAAAGUUAGGGGAUGAGCUGUGGAUAGGGGUGAAAGGCUAAACAAACCUGGAAAUAGCUGGUUCUCUCCGAAAACUAUUUAGGUAGUGCCUCGUGUCUCACCUUCGGGGGUAGAGCACUGUCAUGGUUGGGGGGUCUAUUGCAGAUUACCCCGCCAUAGCAAACUCCGAAUACCGAAGAGUGCAAUCACGGGAGACAGACAUCGGGUGCUAACGUCCGGUGUCAAGAGGGAAACAACCCAGACCGCCAGCUAAGGUCCCCAAAUAUAGCUAAGUGGGAAACGAAGUGGGAAGGCUAAAACAGUCAGGAGGUUGGCUUAGAAGCAGCCACCCUUUAAAGAAAGCGUAAUAGCUCACUGAUCGAGUCGUCCUGCGCGGAAGAUGUAACGGGGCUAAGCUAUAUACCGAAGCUGCGGAUGCGAGCUUGCUCGCAUGGUAGGAGAGCGUUCCGUAAGCCUGCGAAGGUGCCUUGUAAAGGGUGCUGGAGGUAUCGGAAGUGCGAAUGCUGACAUGAGUAGCGAUAAAGGGGGUGAAAGGCCCCCUCGCCGUAAGCCCAAGGUUUCCUACGCAACGUUCAUCGGCGUAGGGUGAGUCGGCCCCUAAGGCGAGGCAGAAAUGCGUAGCUGAUGGGAAGCAGGUCAAUAUUCCUGCACCAUUGUUAGAUGCGAUGGGGGGACGGAUCGCGGAAGGUUGUCCGGGUGUUGGAAGUCCCGGUCGCUGCAUUGGAGAAGGCGCUUAGGCAAAUCCGGGCGCGCAAUUCAAGGGUGUGGCGCGAGCUCCUUAGGGAGCGAAGCAAUUGGAAGUGGUUCCAAGAAAAGCCUCUAAGCUUCAGUCUAACGAUGACCGUACCGCAAACCGACACAGGUGGGCGAGAUGAGUAUUCUAAGGCGCUUGAGAGAACUCGGGAGAAGGAACUCGGCAAAUUGGUACCGUAACUUCGGGAUAAGGUACGCCCUUGUAGCUUGACUGGCCUGCGCCAGGAGGGUGAAGGGGUUGCAAUAAACUGGUGGCUGCGACUGUUUAAUAAAAACACAGCACUCUGCAAACACGAAAGUGGACGUAUAGGGUGUGACGCCUGCCCGGUGCCGGAAGAUUAAAUGAUGGGGUGCAAGCUCUUGAUUGAAGUCCCGGUAAACGGCGGCCGUAACUAUAACGGUCCUAAGGUAGCGAAAUUCCUUGUCGGGUAAGUUCCGACCUGCACGAAUGGCGUAACGAUGGCCACACUGUCUCCUCCCGAGACUCAGCGAAGUUGAAGUGUUUGUGAUGAUGCAAUCUACCCGCGGCUAGACGGAAAGACCCCAUGAACCUUUACUGUAGCUUUGCAUUGGACUUUGAACCGAUCUGUGUAGGAUAGGUGGGAGGCUAUGAAACCGGAACGCUAGUUUCGGUGGAGCCGUCCUUGAAAUACCACCCUGGUUUGUUUGAGGUUCUAACCUUGGCCCGUGAUCCGGGUCGGGGACAGUGCAUGGUAGGCAGUUUGACUGGGGCGGUCUCCUCCCAAAGCGUAACGGAGGAGUACGAAGGUACGCUAGGUACGGUCGGAAAUCGUGCUGAUAGUGCAAUGGCAUAAGCGUGCUUAACUGCGAGACCGACAAGUCGAGCAGGUGCGAAAGCAGGUCAUAGUGAUCCGGUGGUUCUGUAUGGAAGGGCCAUCGCUCAACGGAUAAAAGGUACUCUGGGGAUAACAGGCUGAUACCGCCCAAGAGUUCAUAUCGACGGCGGUGUUUGGCACCUCGAUGUCGGCUCAUCUCAUCCUGGGGCUGUAGCCGGUCCCAAGGGUAUGGCUGUUCGCCAUUUAAAGAGGUACGUGAGCUGGGUUUAAAACGUCGUGAGACAGUUUGGUCCCUAUCUGCCGUGGGCGUUGGAUAUUUGAAGGGGGCUGCUCCUAGUACGAGAGGACCGGAGUGGACGAACCUCUGGUGUACCGGUUGUCACGCCAGUGGCAUCGCCGGGUAGCUAUGUUCGGAAGAGAUAACCGCUGAAAGCAUCUAAGCGGGAAACUCGCCUUAAGAUGAGAUAUCCCUGGGGACUAGAUCCCCUUGAAGGGUCGUUCGAGACCAGGACGUUGAUAGGUCAGGUGUGUAAGCGCAGUAAUGCGUUCAGCUAACUGAUACUAAUUGCCCGUAAGGCUUGAUCC